AUUGAAAGUAGAAAACAAUCUUGCAAUUAGAAAGGUAUGGCGCCUUGCGUCCCAAUUCAUUUACGGCGUUUUACUUUAAUGAACAUGCAUCUUCUUUCUUGGCUGCUUGAACGCUGUAACUCUCUUCGGUAAUUUGACAAAAUUCCAGCGCUGCGUACACAUAUCCCCAGCCGAAAGAGUUUAUAAACAGAGGGCCACACGGUGGCCAGCUCGAUCCCAUCCAGUAAACCGACACUAUCCGGAGGGUUCAAAAUUAGAAAGUGGCAAUCUCACACAUCUUCGCCGCGCUCACUUCUUGGUUUCUCUCCAUUUUCGAGACAGGACGAUAUCCAAAAUCGCGAAUGAAAUUUUUAAGAAUGACACACUACCGCGAUUCAAAGACGCACGCUGGACACAUCGUACUCGUCCUCGGAAAAUGUUCUGCCCAAAUGCGGUGUGCGAACGAGAGAGUGAGCGUUAUGGAAAUCAAGAAGAAAGAGAAAGAGGUAGAACGAGGGGCAACGAGUCGACAGAAUUUUUUCUUACUUAGGUCAAACGACAGGUGCACACAAUAUGCACCCUACCGUGCUGUAAGGCCGAGUAACCCUCGCCCAAGUCGCAAGAAAAGUGAAACUCAAGAGAUUGCCAGAGCAAAUUGUGAGGAGUACACAACGCAACGUUUUAUCUGUGUGAGGAAUCAUCGUCAGAUGACUGCGACCCCGUGUCCUACGAAGAUGUAAUAGCUUUCUGCCCGUAAUCAAUAAUAUUGAUCGUGAUAGGCAUUCAUCUCGAUAACAUUUUACCGGAAUAACGUAGUGUCAGUGAUUCGAUCUGCAACGAUGCUGUGCUACUUUACAUAUCUAUGUCAAAUUAGAACACGCAAAUCAUCGAAUAACCGAGCUACUUGCGCAUUUCCUUCUUUGCGACUCCUUUCAAUUUCUCCAAGUAAAUCAGAAAACACACCUCAAUGAAUUAAUUAGUGAAAUAUUUCGGAUAUUAGCAAUUAUAUAAUAACAGCUGCGACAAUUUAUAAUUUUUCUAAAAAAAAAUUGUACAUAGAGCUACUCUUUGCAACGUAGUGAAUAAAUACUUUAACAAACA
Molecule: unclassified non-coding RNA, 1080 nt
Organism: Acromyrmex echinatior (Panamanian leafcutter ant)
Lineage: Eukaryota; Metazoa; Arthropoda; Insecta; Hymenoptera; Formicidae
Source: RefSeq, a predicted model, not a curated record